GAGGAGGCAGCAGUAAGGAAUCUUGCGCAAUGGGCGAAAGCCUGACGCAGCAACGCCGCGUGUGUGAUGAAGGUCUUCGGAUCGUAAAGCACUGUCGCGAGGGACGAAUAAGGGGCGGGCGAAUAUCCCGUUCCGAUGACGGUACCUCGAGAGGAAGCACCGGCUAACUCUGUGCCAGCAGCCGCGGUAAUACAGAGGGUGCAAGCGUUGUUCGGAAUUAUUGGGCGUAAAGCGCGUGUAGGCGGCCAUGCAAGUCGGGUGUGAAAGCCCUCGGCUUAACCGAGGAAGUGCGCCCGAAACUACAUGGCUUGAGUACCGGAGAGGGUGGCGGAAUUCCCGGUGUAGAGGUGAAAUUCGUAGAUAUCGGGAGGAACACCAGCGGCGAAGGCGGCCACCUGGACGGAUACUGACGCUGAGACGCGAAAGCGUGGGGAGCAAACAGGAUUAGAUACCCGAGUAGUCC
Molecule: ribosomal RNA, 463 nt
Filed under: uncultured bacterium
Lineage: Bacteria
Description: bacterial SSU rRNA
Rfam family: Bacterial small subunit ribosomal RNA
Source: RNAcentral